CUGAUUCUCUUUUCAGACUCAGCCCACCUGCACCCAGGUGAAAUAAACAGCUUUAUUGCUCACACAAAGCCUGUUUGGUGGUCUCUUCACAGGGACGCGCAUGAAAUUUGGUGCUGUGACUCAGACUGGGGGACCUCCCUUGGGAGAUCAAUCCCCUGUCCUCCUGCUCUUUGCUCCGUGAGAAAGAUCCACCUACAACCUCUGGUCCUCAGACCAACCAGCCGAAGGAACAUCUCACCAAUUUUAAAUCUGGUUUUCUUACAAUCUCUGUGGAAACUAUUUCAUCUGCAAACUGAGUUUGUGUUCUGGGCAUGCUGGCCACUUCUGGUGAGUUUUUUCCAUUCUGCUCCAUUUUAUU
Long non-coding RNA from Gorilla gorilla gorilla (western lowland gorilla), 358 nucleotides. RefSeq lists it as uncharacterized. Lineage: Eukaryota; Metazoa; Chordata; Mammalia; Primates; Hominidae. The transcript has 3 exons. The record is from RefSeq and is a predicted model, not a curated record.